Peromyscus californicus insignis is the source of this 2147-nucleotide long non-coding RNA. RefSeq lists it as uncharacterized. The record is from RefSeq and is a predicted model, not a curated record. The transcript is spliced from 3 exons. NCBI's taxonomy places the organism in Eukaryota, Metazoa, Chordata, Mammalia, Rodentia, Cricetidae.
UUAAGUAAUGAUCAUCCUCUCCCUACCUGCGCAUCCAAAGCUCUCUUGUAGUACUGUGUUUCUUCCAUCUUCUCUUUUAGGUAUUGGGCUCUUUGUGCAGCAAGCCUGAUAUUUAAGAAGCAGAGAAGACGAAAGAGCCACUUUGCAGUUUGAGUACAGCAACACAAGCUAGCCUUAUCAAAACAUGUUCGGUAUUAACAGGAAUGUGUACAUGAUGCAUAAAAACUCAUCAUCCAUUCUGGGAGCUCUCCUGAUAAGAAAAGCCAACACAGAAGCCUGUUUGGAUGCAGCAGCACUUUCUGGUGUCCUUAAAGAUUUAUAGACAUGAGGAGCAAUAUGACCAGCUGCUUCAAGCUCUCAUGCCAUGGUGUGCCCAUCCUUGAACUGUGAGCCAAAAUAAGCCCUUCUUUUCUUAAACUGCCUUCAUCAGACAUUUAGUUACAGCAACGAGAAAAAUAAUACAGAAGCAAAGGCAAAUGAUAGAACAGAGUUCUGGUAACUCAGAAGAAAGUGGUGUGGACCAAGGUGGUAGCAGCAGAGGUCAUAAGAAGUGGCUGCAUUGUGGAUAUGUUAUCUAGAUGUGUCGGAAGUACAGUUGGCUGAAUUUUCUAAUAAGAUAAAGAACUUUCGCUUUCUCUCCAUGCCACAGAGUGUUUCCUACCACAAUCCUAACCCCGCACCUCCCACCCCCUGAUCAAACAUAGUCUCAUUCUCUUACUUCACACAGGCUCCAGAAACCAAGAAGUGAGGUCACACAGGAUGUGGGAAUGGUUUCCAACAUUACCCAGGAAAAUGGCUUUCAAUGUUAUUAUAAAUAUUUGCCAGUGUUUUUAGCUAUACAACAUGAACAUUAUGCAAACAAUGUAACAGAGAAAAACACAUGGGAAAAUAGUUCUACAAAUUCCCAAAACAAAAUUGCCGAGCACUUUAAGUAUGUAAGAACCAAAAGAGAAGCUCUGUCGGCAGCCCCAACAAAUGACGUAAUUCAGACCCAAGGAAAUAAAGGCAAUGGCACAAUGAGAGAGAAACUCACCAUUAAACAAGUGUACUCAAAGAGAGAGAUGAACUGGAGAAUCAUGGGAAGUAAUUAAAAGUGAGACCAAAGAGCUGAUGACAUGGUAGAAGCCUGUGGACCUGAGUUCAAACCCUGAACCCCACAUGGUGGAGGAGAGAACUGACUCCUAAAACUGGCUCCUCUAAUUAAAACAAACAGAGGAGAGGCAAGAAAGAUACAUUCUAUAUAUUAAUAAAAUAUGAUAUAUAAAAAUCCGAACUAUAUAUUUGAAAUAAAAAUGAGAAUGCUACUUUAAAAGCAGCACAAAAAUAAGAGAAAUAAAAAGGUUUUUUUAAUAGAGAAAAAAAAGAUUCAGGUGCUCCAAUAUGCAUUUCAUAGGAGCCAAAAUGAAACAAUAAAGAACAAUAUUCUAGAAAACAAUGGCUAAGGAUUUUCUAGAAAGCCGUAUGUAACUCCUGUGAAGAGUGAGAAAAGCAAACACUAAGAAAGGAAAUGUAAAAGCUACAAGAAGGAAAAACUCAAAGGUCUCUUUGGGACCUGUAACAGGAGAAAGUAGAGGCAUUUCAUUAAAAUGCCGAGGAAAAAAAUAACCAUCAACCAAGAAUCAGCAACACAAUACUAGUCCACUUAAGCAGUAAAAGAAAUAGAGGAAAAAGCAUAAAAAGAAUAGCAGGAAAAAGCAGAGAACUUGCCCAAAGAAUCAUUACAGAACACGCAGAAAGACAACAUAAACAGAUACGUCAGAACACUGGUGAAUAAAGAAAUGAUGGAGUGCCAGGCCUGUGUGACAAACUUACCUUCCGUUUGAUGUCCCUAUAAAACUGUCGUGAGAUUUGUAAACCCUCAGAAAUCAACAAUGCCUGCAGAGUUGGGAAGCAGCUUGUGAAAGCAGUCAGGCCUGCUGAACUCUCCCUGUGCUAUAGCUGCCUCAGCUGAAUAACAUUCAUUCACAUGUACCUGGAUUUCCCUUUAGAUUAUGAGCCCUGGUCACCUCUAUAGUCCCCAUCACCUCCCACAUGGAAUGUUCUCAGUAAUACUUAAUAAAGUAAUGGAAGAAUUACUAAGAUUUCCUCAGUCCGGGGAAGACUUCAAGAUUAUAUUUAGCAAAGUGCAGAAGCAAAAAAGGUCAGCG